ACUCCAGUUUAAAGCCUCACAAACAAACAAAUUUUCAAUAAAUACUAAACGAGACGGAGACAAUAAAAUGUCAACCAAAUCAGUAAUCAAAGAUUCCAGACCAACCACUCACCCUCCGCCCCAAAAAUAACAAGGGAUGGGCACUGAGGUCUGAUGCCUAUCAAGCCAUCAAACUGGCAAACGAGUCCCUGUCGCUGGGGCUUAGACAAAAGUCAAAGGACCAAAGGACCGGGCCAAGUGUCACUGACAUCGGAAAUCCGAGGAGGAGCGACGACGAAAUGGAAGGUGGAACCCGCCCCCUCAGAGCUCUGCUCAGCUACGUCCUGGCUGAUUUUAGUCUGCAUUAUUGAUGAAAUGCCACAGAUGCCGAAGAGACAAGCUGGCCCGAAUAUGUGCAAUUUAAGCGUAUUAGGAACGACCCAGUAGCCAAGGAGCUCACACACACACAAAAAUCAAAUCAAUUUUAAUUUUGGGGGAAAACAAGCAGCCAGAAAAGCGGGGAAAAUGCCAAGGCAUGCGAAAAGCAAAGGAGGGCAGCAAACAAAACCCAAGUCGGACACUGACAGGGACAGGGAUAGGAAAAAUCCAGACCAUGGC
Molecule: unclassified non-coding RNA, 597 nt
Filed under: Drosophila ananassae
Lineage: Eukaryota; Metazoa; Arthropoda; Insecta; Diptera; Drosophilidae
Description: GF27927
Source: RNAcentral